UACGUAGGUGGCAAGCGUUGUUCGGAAUUAUUGGGCGUAAAGGGUGCGUAGGCGGCUUAGUAAGUCCGUGGUGAAAGCCCACCGCUCAACGGUGGAACUGCCAUGGAUACUGCUAGGCUUGAGUACAGACGAGGUAGGCGGAAUGGAUCGUGUAGAGGUGAAAUGCAUAGAUACGAUCCAGAACACCAAUUGCGUAGGCAGCUUACUAGGCUGUAACUGACGCUGAGGCACGAAAGCGUGGGGAGCGAACAGG
Molecule: ribosomal RNA, 253 nt
Filed under: uncultured bacterium
Lineage: Bacteria
Description: partial 16S ribosomal RNA
Rfam family: Bacterial small subunit ribosomal RNA
Source: RNAcentral